This is a long non-coding RNA of Mya arenaria, 1688 nucleotides long. RefSeq lists it as uncharacterized. NCBI's taxonomy places the organism in Eukaryota, Metazoa, Mollusca, Bivalvia, Myida, Myidae. The transcript is spliced from 4 exons. The record is from RefSeq and is a predicted model, not a curated record.
AAACAUUCGAAAUCCUUUACCCCGUUUCAUACACAGUGAUUUGGUUCAUGGAUAUUUAUCUCUGUGAUGAAGGGUUUAGCUUUUAUGUGAUGUAGGCGAUGGCAGAUGGUUUGGAAUCUUGUUUUCAACAUUUUCCAUAUGGAGAAGAAUUUACAUACCUGCACAUGGACAACAGGAAUGGUAUCUGGUGCAUUCUAAAGGCCAGCAUAGAGAAAUAGGAUUUACUUAAAUGGAAGCGAUCUCACAAAGUUCGGUCCUGUCUGAGAUCUGUGGAAGGAUUUUAGCCGACAACCCAUUGAGUGCGUUCGUCAGAGAUCAUGCGAAGGACAGGGAGAUGAAAGUUCAAGUUGGCAAGCCCACAAUGAUGGCUCUCUCAGAUAGAACCCUAAACGCAUCCAGCUAAAAGGACUUGAUGCAAAAAUGCUCUGUGACUUGUCUGACCAGAUUGACCUUUUUGUUUUAACACCAGUGUAUGUUCCAAACCAACAGUGCCAAGACCCUUAUAUAAGUGAAACAAUCACUUGAUGUCAAUAUGCUGAUAUGUAAUCUUUAUAAACUUAAUUUAAGGUUUGAGAAUGAUCCUGCCACUGAGCUCAUGAAACCAGUCUCACUGUUUUAUUGACAAUUAUUUAUGUAAUAGUUAGAUGACAGGAAGUGAAUUCUUAAUGAUUAAGAAUGGGCGGAGUGUGGUGAGCGUAGCCAAAGAAUCCUUAAUUAUUAAGAAUUCACUUCGUGUCAUCUAGCUGACUAAGAAUACAACCUCAUUGGCUGACACAUAGUCGACGCAAUAUAUGAUGCUGGGAGUGUGUAUCUGAUGAUUGGCAGUAGGUAAAUCUUUAAACACACGCGAAAGUUGAACAUCUUAAUGAUUAAGUCUGCUACUUACUAAUUGGAUGCCUGUCUGCAAUCUCAUAUAUAUAUAUCUUCUGUGAGGUAAGUGAAAAUGUAGGUUGUAUUCUAAUCAAUAGUAACAACUUCAUAUAUAUUGAUUUCAAGUGAUACACUUCAGUUUUAGCAAUGAGUGAUAAAAGGGUGCUACACCCUGUAUUUUGUUAAUAGCACUCCUUUGCAAUAAUGGUGACCAAUAAAUGAUUAUGAAUACAUACUAUCUUAAUGAAUCUGGCAGUUGAAGUCAAAACUAUUUGAAUUGAACACAUUCAUAAUGUUGUUUUUCAAAAUGAUGAUAUUUAUGUUCUUCACAGCCUGAUACAAUGUACCUUUUAAUAGCAACAUUUCCAUUUUUCUAUAGAGUCUUCCUUUUUCUAAACUUGGCUAAGCCUUAUAAAGAAUUUUAGCUUGAACUUUUGCCUAUGAAUAAGCAUCGACAAUAUAAUUUGUCAGGUCCUAUGUUGAAAAUUGAAUAUUUCUUGAAAAUUCAUGACUUGUACAAUGCUAAGUAGUAAGUCUGUUUGAAAUUGUUUUCGUUUUUAUAAAUGAGCCCAUUUAUUAACUGGUCUAAUUAUACAAUAGUAUAAAUGAUGCAGUAUGUAUUUUCAAUUUAAAGUAUAUUUACCUCCAUUUCUUGUUUUACGAGCAAUUAACUAUUGUAUAAACCUCGCAUUUUUUUUCUUUUAAUAAUAAUUUAGAAUGGAUUUGAAAUUGUGUUCAUGUUGUUGUUGUUAUAAUUUGGGGAAAUGUGUAUAUUUGAGUGAUGCAUAAUUUACUGUAUAUUUGAAUACAAGUGUUUU